Non-coding RNA from Lolium perenne, 2500 nucleotides. NCBI's taxonomy places the organism in Eukaryota, Viridiplantae, Streptophyta, Magnoliopsida, Poales, Poaceae. The record is from RefSeq and is a predicted model, not a curated record.
AUGAUCUUGCUAAUGCUGAUAAUGCUAAACCCCUGUAUGCCUGAAUGUGCAGAUUCUACUGAAGUAAAGGAUGUUGUACAGAGUCAUAUGCAGACUCAGAAGAAUGAUGUCCCACAAGAGAUCAUUGAGGUGCCAGUAGAUUUGGAUUUCAUUCCUAAAUUGUUUGAUGACUUUGAAGAAAUGGAGGAAUCAGAAGCAGAUUCUCAUAAUCGAGAAAAUAAGGAGAACGCCCGGGGUAGUGAUAUCGUUCAUGAUGAGGCGAAAUAUAUUGACACUCUUGGGUCGAUUGAGGACUGCCUGACACUGUUUUCCCAUAGCCUGACGAAUUGUGACAACUGUUCCAAGGUUGCUGAGUUGCUGGAAACCAAUGCAAGUAAAAGCGUUGAACCGAUCAUGGCAAGUACCAGUGUAAACACAUCUGUUCAUGGAGACCAGACUCUUGCAGAUUCACAUCAAGAAGGCAUACUCUCUGAUGACACAACUACUGAAAAAAUCACUUCAGGGACGAGCUGUGAUGAAAAGGACUUAGCCUCUUGCAGCACAGCCAAUGAAAAAGCUGAAAGUCGUGAAGGUGUUCAAAAAGCUGCGCCUAUUUGCCUUACAACUGAUCAACAGACUGACCUGCUGAGUGCUCUGCAUAUUCAAGAUACCAGGACCCAGAAACAGGACAGUGGAAAGCAUGUACUUGAUGAUCAUAGUGCCCAAAGAGUGGAGGCAACCCAAAAUGAGCAGACAGAUGGUAAUGGUAGAAGUAUUCAAACACAAUUGAUUAGCAAGCUGCCACCUGUAUUAACCAUUCAACUGAAGAAAUACGCACCUGAUCUUUCUAAAUUGAGAGGGCAUGUGAGCUUUAAGGAGAUUCUUCACUUAGGACCAUUCAUGGACCCCAGGUAAUAACAUCUAACAAUUCUACACCGUAAUAUCUAAUACCUUUCUGUUAUGCCAGUUCUAUAAGUUCCCAAUCUUCAGAAAUACAGUAACUAUCUUGUUUCAUAGUUUGCUGCUACUAUCUUUAAGUAUAUUUUCCAUUAUGUUCUCAUUGUGACUGUUGAUUAUUGUUUACUAUGUGUAUAUUAGUUUUUGUUUAUCUUGAAUUCUUGAUCAAACAAGCAUCUCUUAGGGUGUGUGAAUGAAUGAUUGUCACACACGGUGGUAAAUUUCUGUCACAAGCAGCUAAUUUUUCCUUAGGACAUCUUCACUCUUGUCUCUCAGUAGCAGAGUAAUUGUUCUGAUUAUCUGAUGUCAGCGAACUAAACCAGUGUUAUAAUUAUCACGUAAACAUAUGCUGUUCAGAAGCUCAGUAAUUUUAGUGCCACAGAUGGUUAUACUAGGAAUAUACUUCACUAAAUGACUGCAACAGCGUAUCAGUCUAAACAGAUUCCGAAAGUGAAUAUACAUUAUGAAACGCAUUCCCCCACUGCAAGGCAUAUAAAACAGCCUUUGAACAUGACUUGCCCAUUAACUAUUCCAUUAACUGAUGAAUAACUGUUGCUUAUCCUGGAGCAAGACAAGUUCCAUGAUCAAAGGUGUAUUUUUCAUUGCGUGUGUGCUCCACCUCUUGUAAAUUCUAACAGACAACAGUUUUCCUAUUUUCGUUGAACAAAAAAAAGGAAAUAUAGUUGCAAUGUGAACGGUCCAACUGUACCGUGAAUUUGUUUGCAAAUUGUGUAUCAACUGGAUUUAAGGAUUUACUCACAGCCUCAUUUGGACCAGAACUCUGUGCCAUUGAUUGGGACUCUAGUUUUUCUGUGUAUGAUGUCAUCAUAUUUGAAUAUAUAUCAGCUGUACAGGUCGUCUGGUGUAAACUCUAUCCACUCUAGUUAUCAUAUCAUGAAACAUUAUUAUGGUAACACCUUUUGUCUGUACGUAUUUAGGUGCCUUGAAAUGCCUAAUCUGGCAACCUUUUUUUCUUAUCUUUUCAAACGUUUCUAUUUUUAAGUACUCCCUCCAUCCCCAGAUAGGUGGUGUAUAAAUUGAGUAAAAAAGUCAUUUUUUUAAGUUUGACCAAGUAUAUAUAGAAAAAUAUCAAUAGAUCCACCAUAAGAUAUAUUUUAAUUGUAUUUAUUUGUAGUUAUUGAUAUUUCAUUCUAUAUAUUUUGUCAAACUUGGAAAGUAUAGACUUUUGGACCAAAUUUAUACGCCGCCUAUUUGAGGACGGAGGGACUAUAAUUGUGUAUUAGUAUUUCAAUAUUAGAUAGAUAUAUAUAUCUUGCAGUGGGCAAUUGAAAUUACUCUGUCACUUAAUUUCUUAGUAUUUCGAUUAGGACAUAAAUAACCAGUCACUGCAGAUGUACCAUAUUGUUUAAUAUCUGAUACAGUAUUCAGUCUGUUGUUUUCAAGAAAGACAUGCCAUUGUUGCUACUCCAGUUCUGAGGACAAAGAUAACUCAAGCUAUCGUCUAGUUGGCGUCAUUGUGCACCAUGGCAACAGACGGAAUGAUGGGCACUACAUUGCUUAUGUGCGGGGCAGUGGCUCCUCCUGGUUUUGGGCAAGUGACACC